GAUGAACGCUGGCGGCGUGCCUAAUACAUGCAAGUAGAACGCUGAAGCUUGGUGCUUGCACCGAGCGGAUGAGUUGCGAACGGGUGAGUAACGCGUAGGUAACCUACCUCUUAGCGGGGGAUAACUAUUGGAAACGAUAGCUAAUACCGCAUAAAAGUCGACAUUGCAUGAUGUUGACUUGAAAGGUGCAAAUGCAUCACUAAGAGAUGGACCUGCGUUGUAUUAGCUAGUUGGUGAGGUAACGGCUCACCAAGGCGACGAUACAUAGCCGACCUGAGAGGGUGAUCGGCCGCACUGGGACUGAGACACGGCCCAGACUCCUACGGGAGGCAGCAGUAGGGAAUCUUCGGCAAUGGACGGAAGUCUGACCGAGCAACGCCGCGUGAGUGAAGAAGGUUUUCGGAUCGUAAAGCUCUGUUGUAAGAGAAGAACGAGUGUGAGAGUGGAAAGUUCACACUGUG
This 461-nucleotide ribosomal RNA is filed under the name Streptococcus parasanguinis. RNAcentral describes it as "bacterial SSU rRNA". It matches the Rfam family "Bacterial small subunit ribosomal RNA", at positions 28 to 471 of the family's 1533-position model. The record is from RNAcentral. Lineage: Bacteria; Bacillati; Bacillota; Bacilli; Lactobacillales; Streptococcaceae.